Molecule: long non-coding RNA, 422 nt
Organism: Pan paniscus (pygmy chimpanzee)
Lineage: Eukaryota; Metazoa; Chordata; Mammalia; Primates; Hominidae
Source: Ensembl
CCUACCAACUCCCUCUCAGAACCUCCAGGUUGCCAAAAAAUAUGCAGUACUGAAACGGCAGCUGAAGGAAAGGCAGGAACCAUGUGCUCUAAGACAGGGACCCUUGAGCUUCUCCCCCAGAACCCUCUUUGUACAACACCUGCCUCAGGAAAAUGGCCCCUAUUCACCCUCAGUGCACUCACCGGCCACAGAGAAAAAUGUAAAACAGGAUGUCCAAAGGCCUGCUGUAAAACCAGAGGAAGAUAAAUGCAUAUCAAAAAUUCAAGUAAGACACUUGAUGUAGAAAAGAAAACAUUUGAAAUACUGUUAGCUGAAGGGUAGUGUGAAGCCACUUUACCGCCACCAGGAAUUCACUUGGAAAGUUAACAGGGGGAGAAAAGCAGUUAGCAUGGUGCUGCUGUGCUCAUUUUACUGGAAGAAGG